UGUUAUAAUGAUAUUCAUACACAAGUGUCAUCGCAUUGGAAUGUUUAUCACGUGCGUGGGUGGAAAACAUCUGCAAUUAUUAGUGGGGGUGGAGCUUCGGUCACAUGACACUGUACUUAGCUUUCUGAAGUUGACCGUAGCUAGUUGAUCGUGUAAAACCCUGAAAAACUAUUUGUUGUAAGCUACCUAGUAGUUAUUAAAGGCCUUAACUAAGACUAUUAGAUAGUAGAGAACUUGUUUCCUGCUGCGCAAGACAGAGUGCAACCAAACAAGAAUGUUAGGAGGAGAUCUCGGGGACAAUUCAGGAUUUCAUCAGUAUAUGAUAUGUACAUCAGGAUUCCAAGAAAAGAUAGGAUCUAACUAAGCUGGAACAAAUGGUUUUUUUAUAAUCUAGUUUUACAAGGAAAUUUCAUGUUAAUUGGUCACAUGAUCUUUUUUUUCAUUAAGGAAACUUAAAUUAUUAUGACAAAACAAAAUGUGCAAUUACUAUGUUUAAUAUUGAAUACUUUUUGAUAUAUGUGACGUUGGCUGUUCUUGAUUCUG
This is a long non-coding RNA of Halichondria panicea, 543 nucleotides long. RefSeq lists it as uncharacterized. The record is from RefSeq and is a predicted model, not a curated record. The transcript is spliced from 2 exons. Lineage: Eukaryota; Metazoa; Porifera; Demospongiae; Suberitida; Halichondriidae.